CCUACGGGUGGCAGCAGUGGGGAAUAUUGGACAAUGGGCGAAAGCCUGAUCCAGCCAUGCCGCGUGUGUGAAGAAGGCCUUCGGGUUGUAAAGCACUUUCAGUGGGGAAGAAAGCCUUAGGGCUAAUACCCUCGAGGAAGGACAUCACCCACAGAAGAAGCACCGGCUAACUCCGUGCCAGCAGCCGCGGUAAUACGGAGGGUGCGAGCGUUAAUCGGAAUUACUGGGCGUAAAGCGCGCGUAGGCGGUCUGAUAAGCCGGUUGUGAAAGCCCCGGGCUCAACCUGGGAACGGCAUCCGGAACUGGCAGGCUAGAGUGCAGGAGAGGAAGGUAGAAUUCCCGGUGUAGCGGUGAAAUGCGUAGAGAUCGGGAGGAAUACCAGUGGCGAAGGCGGCCUUCUGGACUGACACUGACGCUGAGGUGCGAAAGCGUGGGUAGCAAACAGGAUUAGAUACCCGAGUAGUC
This 465-nucleotide ribosomal RNA is filed under the name Vreelandella stevensii. RNAcentral's name for it is "partial 16S ribosomal RNA". It matches the Rfam family "Bacterial small subunit ribosomal RNA", at positions 338 to 795 of the family's 1533-position model. The record is from RNAcentral. Lineage: Bacteria; Pseudomonadati; Pseudomonadota; Gammaproteobacteria; Oceanospirillales; Halomonadaceae.